RNAcentral lists this long non-coding RNA (1094 nucleotides) under Micromonas commoda. RNAcentral's name for it is "long non-coding RNA (MCOM_LNC000029)". The record is from RNAcentral. Lineage: Eukaryota; Viridiplantae; Chlorophyta; Mamiellophyceae; Mamiellales; Mamiellaceae.
AAAAUACGAACCAAUGAAAGAGCGGUAUGUGCCGGUACCGAAGGACUGUCUCGUCGCUAUUUCCGGUUAACCCACCGCCGCGCGGGUACGCGCUGAACACGCACGCACCAAGCGCGGUAUGGUUGGAUACGUGUCACACAUGCCGCACGCGGCGUCAUUCACGCAAAAACCGCCGGAAAGCGCGGACAUCGCUCGGUUCGUAGCGCGCGGAAGGACAAACAACCAUUUCUCUGGUGCCGCAUGAGUGUCCCACUAACCACGAACCACCAGCAACGGGGUGGUGGAGGGGUGCCCAACGACAACGAAGCCGCCCGAAUCCCGCCUGUAGGCUCGUUAGCUGAUUGUUGCGGAGGUACAACGAGGGCCUGAAGGCCGUACCGGCUACAACGAGGGCCUGAAGGCCGUACCGCCGGAGGUGAGACCAUCGUGGAUACCAAAUCGUGGAUACCAAAUCGUGGUACCAAAUAACCGGGAUCUUAACCCCAAACAACACCCUCAGACGCACAAAUUCCAAACGUCACUUCCCAAAUUCACCAUCGGCAAGGUACGCGGCCGUGGCACCUACGAAGACGCCGGAAGACAGUUAUUAAAUUUGUACAGUAUUGUCAUAAGUAUUCGUGAGUCCGAGAGCCUGUUCGAGGCGUUCGCUGCACACAUGCUCGCGCGCGAUAGUUUCGUCUUCUUGUCAGGUUUUCACAGAAGACAUGACCGUUAAGAAAGAGCCUUCGUCCAGCCCUCAUCGACGGAGGCUAUGCCGACCCCCUGGCGUCGGUCACCAUAAAUCAGUGCUUUGAAAAACCCCACCACACCACCGCAACAAUCGCCCCCUGGUAGGACCUGGAGAGCUUUUAUUAUUUUAUAUUCUACCUUCGAAGGUACCAAUGAUACCAAGAUACCAAGAUACCAAUGAUACCAAUAACUCUUAAUGACAAUCAGUAAAACCCUUAACCACAAAUAAUAACAUCCUCAACUAUAUCACCGAGGCACUUCCAAAACCACCAACUUUCCCUCGGCGAAAAAUUUUCUCCCGUUCCCUUCGUUCUGAGAGCCGAAUUUGGAAACGUAUUCGCGCAAAAUUCAAACACUCACCGCAA